This 305-nucleotide ribosomal RNA is filed under the name uncultured bacterium. RNAcentral describes it as "bacterial SSU rRNA". It matches the Rfam family "Bacterial small subunit ribosomal RNA", at positions 337 to 659 of the family's 1533-position model. The record is from RNAcentral.
GCCUACGGGACGCAGCAGUGGGGGAUAUUGCACAAUGGGGGGAACCCUGAUGCAGCGACGCCGCGUGGGCGAUGGAGUGCUUCGGCAUGUAAAGCCCUAUCAGCAGGGAAGAAAAUGACGGCACCUGACUAAGAAGCCCCGGCUAAAUACGUGCCAGCAGCCGCGGUAAUACGUAGGGAGCGAGCGUUGUCCGGAUUUACUGGGUGUAAAGGGUGCGCAGGCGGCUCUGCAAGUCAGGCGUGAAAGCUAGGGGCUCAACCCCUAAACUGCGCUUGAAACUGUGGAGCUUGAGUGAAGUAGAGGCA